GGAGAGAGGAACGAACCAGGGAAGCGAGAGACUUACACACACCACAAGCAUUGGAAAUUGAAGGAGUUGGUGUGCAGCUCGCAAGAAGGCAGAGUCUGUGUGGACGGGCCCAGGGGCUGCACAGCUCCAGUGCUCUCUCUGCUUCUAACGUGUGCUGAGCCCUGCUCUGCUCUGCGGUGCGCUCCACUACGCUCUACGCUGCUAGCCUGUGUGACUGGCUGUCUGCGCUCAGCUGAGAAAGAGAGAGAGAAAGGGAGAGCAACUACUACUGCUACAGAUGUGAGGCUUUCCCCAGUGCUGGCUAUACUAUACCGCUCCUGAGAUCGUUCACAGCUUUGUGGAAGUUACCUGGGGCGCUGAUGUUUAGUCCGAGGACAGUGCAUGGCGACUCCUGUACCCCUGCCCUUUAGCAUUCAGCCUCCGUGCAGCGGUGUACGUCUCAUUUCCGUUGCUGCAUGUAGCUCUAAACGGCCAAGGAUAUGAGAAGAAAGAGAUAUGUUAUGUGAACCAUGUGUGACUCCCGACGCAGAUGGAAUGAAGGGCAAAAAAUAGGGGAGCUCAAAGGAUGCUGCGCCCCUCCAAACUUUCCAUCACUCCAUUCCUCCAUCUCUCCAUCACUCCAUCUCUUCAUCACUCCAUUCCUCCAUCACUCCAUUCCUCCAUCACUCCAUUCCUCCAUCUCUCC
Molecule: long non-coding RNA, 685 nt
Organism: Oncorhynchus gorbuscha (pink salmon)
Lineage: Eukaryota; Metazoa; Chordata; Actinopteri; Salmoniformes; Salmonidae
Exons: 4
Source: RefSeq, a predicted model, not a curated record